GAGGGCAUAGCUCAGUGGUAGAAUGCGUGCUCAGCAUGCACGAGGUCCUGGGUUCAGUCCCUAGUACCUCCA
This 72-nucleotide transfer RNA is filed under the name Camelus bactrianus (Bactrian camel). It matches the Rfam family "tRNA". Rfam says of the family: Transfer RNA (tRNA) molecules are approximately 80 nucleotides in length. Their secondary structure includes four short double-helical elements and three loops (D, anti-codon, and T loops). Further hydrogen bonds mediate the characteristic L-shaped molecular structure. tRNAs have two regions of fundamental functional importance: the anti-codon, which is responsible for specific mRNA codon recognition, and the 3' end, to which the tRNAs corresponding amino acid is attached (by aminoacyl-tRNA synthetases). tRNAs cope with the degeneracy of the genetic code in two manners: having more than one tRNA (with a specific anti-codon) for a particular amino acid; and 'wobble' base-pairing, i.e. permitting non-standard base-pairing at the 3rd anti-codon position. The record is from Rfam by way of RNAcentral. RNAcentral also lists the same sequence under 3 other names. Lineage: Eukaryota; Metazoa; Chordata; Mammalia; Artiodactyla; Camelidae.